GGCCAAUCAGAAAAUAGAAUUUCUCAGCCAAUCAGAAAAUAGAAUUUCUUGUUGCUGGGUGAGGAGUUCCUGUACUACCAGUUGAUGGACAUCCCUAUGUCCCAAGACCCAGUCAUGUUUGACAUUGAGGCUUUCUAGGGGAAUAUGACCUCACUGAAGAAUAGGGUGACUGGUAUGAGCAGAUUUCCGAGGCUGUCUACACUCUAAGAAUAUAUCUGUGUUUCACGGUUGAUUCCCUCUUUCUGGACCAUGCAAGGAAAGGCAGCAGGACCCGUCCUUAUACCCUUAUUGGACAGAGGAGCAGUCGUUUUACGAGUUUUUGCAACCAUCUUUAAGAAUGGAAAAGAAAGUUCAAGGAAGAUAUAUUUUGUACAUUUACUGUUAAACUUAUUGAAACAUUUGUAAUAUUAUACAGUAAAAUAAAAUGGC
Trichomycterus rosablanca is the source of this 429-nucleotide long non-coding RNA. RefSeq lists it as uncharacterized. NCBI's taxonomy places the organism in Eukaryota, Metazoa, Chordata, Actinopteri, Siluriformes, Trichomycteridae. The record is from RefSeq and is a predicted model, not a curated record. The transcript has 4 exons.